Long non-coding RNA from Mustela erminea (ermine), 636 nucleotides. RefSeq lists it as uncharacterized. The record is from RefSeq and is a predicted model, not a curated record. Lineage: Eukaryota; Metazoa; Chordata; Mammalia; Carnivora; Mustelidae. The transcript is spliced from 3 exons.
GUGACUGGUCACAUGACUGGUGACCAGACACAAGUCUGCCUUCCCCGAAGUUCUGCUGCCAGCCCACAUGGGGCACAACUGUGUCACUUUCUAGACCCAAUGUUCUACCACAUUGGUAUUUACAUUGUGAUGCUCUGUAAAUUCCGGAAGGACUCCACGGUCACUGACGGCGUAUAUCAUUUUUGCUCUGGACGUACGUGAUGUUAGUGACCCAUCAAGAUAAUUGUAAAAAUCUGGCUGAGUUUCCAAAAAGGCAGAAAAUAAAGCGAGUUCUUCAAACAAUAUUCACAGAUGAAAAUCUUAUGGAUCUGCAAUGUUAAUUUCAAAGGAUACUGCCAUUUUCUCCAUUUCUACAAGAUUCUCCGUGGGGUUUGAAACGUACCGCUGGGAACGAGUCACUGGGGGUAGGGGGAGUUGAGCAGCACCUGUCCAGAGGGCAGCGAACACGCAAACUUGGGGAAGUCACAACACGUCUCCUGAUGAAACCCUAGAUGGUCUCUGCCCUGGUCUCACCAGUCCCUCAGGUGCCGGUCUGGAGACUCAGCAAGAGGCAAGCUGAACUGAUGACCAGGUGCCUUAGAUACAACAUCCCAGAUGAUCCUUCUGUUUAAAAAUGAUCAAAUACACCUCUUUUUA